GACGAACGCUGGCGGCGUGCUUAACACAUGCAAGUCGAACGGAAAGGCCCUGCUUUUGUGGGGUGCUCGAGUGGCGAACGGGUGAGUAACACGUGAGUAACCUGCCCUUGAAUUUGGGAUAACUUCAGGAAACUGGGGCUAAUACCGGAUAGGAGCUCCUGCUGCAUGGGGGGGGUUGGAAAGUUUCGGCGGUUGGGGCUGGACUCGCGGCUUAUCAGCUUGUUGGUGGGGUAGUGGCUUACCAAGGCUUUGACGGGUAGCCGGCAUGAGAGGGUGACCGGCGACAUUGGGACUGAGAGACGGCCCAGACGCCUACGGGACGCAGCAGUGGGGAGUCUUGCACAAUGGGCGGAAGUCUGAUGCAGCAACGCCGCGUGCGGGAUGACGGCCUUCGGGUUGUAAACCGCUGUCGCAUGUGACGAGGCGUGCGUGACGGUAAUGGGUAAAGAAGCACCGGCUAACUACGUG
RNAcentral lists this ribosomal RNA (468 nucleotides) under uncultured bacterium. Its description in RNAcentral is "partial 16S ribosomal RNA". It matches the Rfam family "Bacterial small subunit ribosomal RNA", at positions 28 to 507 of the family's 1533-position model. The record is from RNAcentral.